RNAcentral lists this ribosomal RNA (253 nucleotides) under uncultured bacterium. Its description in RNAcentral is "partial 16S ribosomal RNA". It matches the Rfam family "Bacterial small subunit ribosomal RNA", at positions 524 to 776 of the family's 1533-position model. The record is from RNAcentral.
UACGGAGGGGGCUAGCGUUGUUCGGAAUUACUGGGCGUAAAGCGCACGUAGGCGGCUUUGCAAGUUAGAGGUGAAAGCCCGGAGCUCAACUCCGGAAUUGCCUUUAAAACUGCAUCGCUAGAAUUGUGGAGAGGUGAGUGGAAUUCCGAGUGUAGAGGUGAAAUUCGUAGAUAUUCGGAAGAACACCAGUGGCGAAGGCGGCUCACUGGCUCGAACCUGACGCUGAGGUGCGAAAGCGUGGGGAGCAAACAGG